GGGAAGUGGCCUUUAUUAGUGGCUGAAUAAAAAGGGUAGAAAGCCAAUGUAGUUCUCGACCCUCAACUCUUUAAACGACAUCCCCAAUCAUUACCCCUAAAGCCAUGCACCAAACACUGUAUCCACCAAAUGCCAUUCCUCAAGACCACUAUUACUCAUAAGGAUGAGGUCUACAUGGACCAAGCCAUUCCCCACAUCACCAAGUCCCACAUGAAGGACUUGGAACCCAAAUGCC
RNAcentral lists this long non-coding RNA (235 nucleotides) under Capsicum annuum. RNAcentral's name for it is "long non-coding RNA (CANN_LNC007344)". Lineage: Eukaryota; Viridiplantae; Streptophyta; Magnoliopsida; Solanales; Solanaceae. The record is from RNAcentral.